Molecule: ribosomal RNA, 253 nt
Filed under: uncultured bacterium
Lineage: Bacteria
Description: partial 16S ribosomal RNA
Rfam family: Bacterial small subunit ribosomal RNA
Source: RNAcentral
UACGUAGGGUGCGAGCGUUAAUCGGAAUUACUGGGCGUAAAGCGUGCGCAGGCGGUUUUGUAAGCCAGAUGUGAAAUCCCCGGGCUUAACCUGGGAAUGGCAUUUGGGACUGCAAGGCUCGAGUGCGGCAGAGGAGACUGGAAUUCCUGGUGUAGCAGUGAAAUGCGUAGAUAUCAGGAGGAACACCAGUGGCGAAGGCGGUGGUCUGGGCCGGAACUGACGCUGAGGAGCGAAAGCGUGGGUAGCAAACAGG